CACUAUCAGCUAACUUUAGGUCACCUAUUUUUCCCUAAUUCUUUUAUUUGAAUAUAUAAAAUUAAAAUCUUUACCUUUUCUCUCUUUCUUCCCUUAAAAUCCCCCGUCUUCAUCGUUCUCUCUCCUACUUCUACCACCGUAAACCUCUGAUUCUCAAUCGGAUUGGGAUUUUUGAACGGAUUCCCAUGUUUACAACUGGCAAUGGUGGCAACGAAGACUGGAUUUCAAUGGCAUCAUUAAGUGUCUUCUGUGUAGAUCUAUUGUCUCAAACUUCAAGGCAGAAAAGCAGCUGCCUUUUUCUCCUUCAAUUUGCAUUAUUGUGCGUCACUAUGUGGUUCAGGAAGAUACUUCAACCAUUUUUGAAGCUGCGGAUACGGAUCAUUCUGGAACCUUAUCUAUUGAAGAAUUCCAAGAUGUUCUGGUAGAGCAACCAUUUGUUUGAAGUAACAAAGCUAUUCAAGGAUUCAGAGGGACAUGAAAGGGUUUAAGUUAGCCCUUUGUCAUGUAAAUUCCCAAAUGAAGAGUCUACUUGCUACUAAGCAGUUGGAGGCCAGGUUAUGCUUGAAGAACAUACAAGAAGAAUCUUACAUCGAUUCUUUUAAGCAACACGGAUGCUAUAUGGGGUAAAAGGAACGGGAGAUGAUUCGAAGAGAAAAAGAGAUGCUUUAUGCUUUCAAAUAUAAAUGUAUUUAGAAUUUAUAUUGUUGUAUGAAACGAAAUUUUGUUCUGAAUAUGAAAGACUUGCUGGACUUGUUAGAAUCUAAGUAUGUAAUGUAAUACAAGUCAAGAUCUUUGUACUUGUUGUGAUACCAUCUUGGUACUGUUUAUCAAUAAAAACUUAUUUGAUAAGUGAUUUCACAUA
Molecule: long non-coding RNA, 862 nt
Organism: Lycium barbarum (goji berry)
Lineage: Eukaryota; Viridiplantae; Streptophyta; Magnoliopsida; Solanales; Solanaceae
Exons: 2
Source: RefSeq, a predicted model, not a curated record